UACAUACUAGCUCUUGGUAGAGCAUUUCUCUUGGAAGAAAAGGUUGCGGGUUCAACUCCUGCGUAUG
This 67-nucleotide transfer RNA is filed under the name Microcoleus sp. PH2017_10_PVI_O_A. RNAcentral's name for it is "tRNA-OTHER". It matches the Rfam family "tRNA". From Rfam's summary of the family: Transfer RNA (tRNA) molecules are approximately 80 nucleotides in length. Their secondary structure includes four short double-helical elements and three loops (D, anti-codon, and T loops). Further hydrogen bonds mediate the characteristic L-shaped molecular structure. tRNAs have two regions of fundamental functional importance: the anti-codon, which is responsible for specific mRNA codon recognition, and the 3' end, to which the tRNAs corresponding amino acid is attached (by aminoacyl-tRNA synthetases). tRNAs cope with the degeneracy of the genetic code in two manners: having more than one tRNA (with a specific anti-codon) for a particular amino acid; and 'wobble' base-pairing, i.e. permitting non-standard base-pairing at the 3rd anti-codon position. The record is from RNAcentral. RNAcentral also lists the same sequence under 5 other names. Lineage: Bacteria; Bacillati; Cyanobacteriota; Cyanophyceae; Oscillatoriales; Microcoleaceae.